CCAAAGGAGUGUACAAGAGAGAGGACAGCUGUGGUGCCUGCCCAGGGGGAACAAUUUUAAUGAAAUAUGCAACUUCUCAUAGACCAGUGCUCUUCAAACUCACAGUGCUUAUUUCACCUGGGUAUCUUACUAAAAUGCAAGUUUGGAUUCAGUAGGUCUGGGGUAAGAAUCCAUGCAUCUAACAAACUCCCGGGUGCUGCUGCCACUGCUGCUCCAUAUUCCCCACUCUGAGCAGCAAGCAUGCACCAUUCAUUCUGCCACUCCAGUCUCAAGGAAGCUACUCUGAGGGAAGUUUGCAUCCCUGGGCCAGGAUUAUUCAUUUGAUAAAUACUCACUGCAUAUCUCAGCCUAGAGAGGUGUUGGGGGAAGUACCGGGAUAGGGAGCCACAAAGCCUCUGUGGUUCCCAACAGGACUUCACUACAGGCUCCUUGCUCUGAGAGAGAGUGUGCAGGAGCAGACAUGCUGUGCAAGGGAAGGGCCUGAGCUCUGCAGGGGUGAGGGAGAAGUUCACUGGACAGACUGAUAUGGAGAAGCGGGCAUUUCAGGGAGAGGGAACUGCAUACUUACAGAAUGUACUCCUGGACAAGUCCUCUGUUCCUUUCCUAAUCUUGCUCUUGACAAACUAAUUUUUCUUAAAUACCAUCAUGAGUCUGUCACUCCUUUGAUCAAAAGCCCACAAACUCCCCAGUGCCAGUAACCUUACCCUGGAUCACAAUAUAAUUGAAUUGCAAGUGUCAUUGUUAUUGUGCCAACUAGAUUAUAAACUCCAUCAAACAUGCAUGGCUUAGAGAGCUGAUGUAUCUAUCCCUCAUCCAGCAGAAAUAAACACUCCAGGCCCUCCAUAAAGGUUCCAUCGAAACACUUUAAAAUCCCCCUUAUCCUGCUGGCAAGUACUCUGAAGAUACACUAUAUUUUCAAGUCAUCUCUUUAGGUCAAGUUAGAGUUCCAGGAGGCAACUCAAUUUUCCUAAAGACUUCACAGAACACUAUAAGCCUAAUUAAUGACAAAAAAGAAAUCUUAACAAUAAAAAAAUUUUUCUAGUUAGAAACUAGUUAGUAUUCAAUGUUUUCAAUACAUUAUCUUCUAUUUUUCACAUGAAAAUGUAUCCUAAGAAUGUGCAAUACAAAGUCUCAUAAUUUACUUGUAUGUGGUAUAAAUAGUGUGUGCUCAUGGACUGUGCUUCUGCCAUCCCCAGUUCCCAGCAAUCCCUAAUACAAAUAGACCCCUGAGCAAGGACACCUUCUCGUCUUAGGAUGUCCAUGAGAGGGCAGUGCUCUGAAUAGAAAACUUUGCCAAGAAACAUGUUUGCUUCAUUGUUUUCAAAGCUAAUUAGUUGAUUAAUGCCAAGUAAACUUUCUAUGUUUCCUAGGUUUUCGUCUAACCACAAAAAACAAAAUUAAGGAAUCUAGCUGACCUGACUUCACUAAUUAUGACAGUUUGAGUCCAGCUGAAAUGAUUCCAUUGCUUGGAAUCAUCUAGCCAAGAAAGCCCUCUGAGUCUGUAUUUGCCGUGUCGCUCAUGGCACAGCCAAGUCUCCCCUAAGGCAGUGUCCUACAACAACCCUUUCUCCUACACCCACCUGCUUUAAGGAAUUCCUCUUUCUGGAGCGCAGACUUAAACAGCGAGCCUAUUGAUUACAGAAUGAACCCAUUCACCCCAGGACAGUCUCAAGGAACAUAGAAAUCAGAUUGGCUUCCCACUGACACACCAACUGUUAAAUCCUUGCUUGCUUCCUUAGUGACCGUCCAGUUGGGAAUCUUACUGUCUCUCUAGGCUAAAUGCACAUGUCUGAUAUGGGUCAAUACACAUAAUCAUCCUUUACAAACUUCGGUUUACUGCAGACCAUGAGUGUUCACUUUCUGCAAAUCUUAAUGCCCAAAUCACUGGUGUGGACCUAAGCUAACUGCCCCUAUUCCUGGGCCCCUUGAAGACUGCAGCUUAUUGUGAGUGCCACACACUUCCUUGGAAGACCUCACACCAGGAGGCACUGCUGUUCCUAACAGUGAAUUCCUCCUGCCCACAUCAUCUAGUCUGUACUCACCCGACCACUGCUCCUCAAUGGCUCUAAUCUGGUCAUCUGUAAAGUUCCACGAACGGGCCAGCCUCUGCCACUCAUUGGCCUUCAGCUGAUGGUAAGCCAGGUCCCAGAGAAGCGUGCGAAUGUGUCUGGUCUCCAGACUGUGAUCUUGCUUGAAUGUCAGAGUAAAGCCUGUUGACGGGUCCCUGAUGCUCUCAUGAUGCUCCUAAAGUGAAAAUAAUUGUAUCAGAAGAUUUCAGACAUGUUCUACUUAUUACCUUAUUUCAGAGUAUAUAUGUUUUUCAAACAUAACUAGUAAGGUGGUAACCGAGACUAUGUUUUCAAUGCCUCCUGUCACUGGAUCAUAUAUAUAUUUUUUUUUUUUGCCAUCCAAAAUGGAAAUAAAUGCUUGAAAUUAAAAGCUUGGGUACCGUCUGUCUGACACAGGAAAUGUGAGGGAUUUUGCCUAUUGUGUCCCAUGCUGCUUAGAACAGAGAAUGAGAACAGAGAGGCUGUCUUGGCAAAGGAUGUGUCACAACAACAAAACCAUCUUUAAUGGCCUUUGUUUGAACCCAUACCCCCAUUUCUUCUUUUGGGUAUUUGAUGUUCUCAUAUUGAAGCUUCGGUGAGCCCAGAUUGGCUGUAUCCUUAAUAAGACCCCACAGCUGGUCCCUCAUUCAUCCUGCUCUCUGGUGAGCAUAAGGAGAGUAAACUAGGAGCCUAGCUCAGGCUGGGGCUUGGGGAAGAGGUGACUAAGGGAGUGGAGAGGACAGGAGUGGACAUCAUUUAAAGUCACUAUAGCCAGGCUCAGACCAACAGCACUAUGCCUAGAUUGGCAUCUUGUUUUCUGACUGUUGAAAGGUUCCUUUUGUCCCUUCUGCAGAAUCCACCAGAGUCCUGCAGAAUCAAACCACAAACACCGGAGAAAAUCACUGAGUGAAAGCAGGCAUCACUGCUUCCUAGAACUGCAUGCUGUGCUUAUGCCACUAGGCCUCCAGGCAAGAAAAGUUGCAAGGAGGAUGGUGUGACCUUUAAAAGAAUCCAUAUAUAUCAAGACUACCAAGCUAAUUAAACAGGAUUGUGAGAGAGAAGGAGAUGAGUAAAUGCUUUUUGCUUUAAGGAUUUAAGGGAAAUUUCCCAAGACUGGCCAGGUGGACAGCAAUCCAGAUGAAUAAGGUUUUCGUGACUCUCACAGAAUACUUGAGUGCCUGAAAGCCUGCACAGCGGUGUGUUGAAAACUGCCGAGCCACACAAAGGAGUUUUUUAACCACUCAUUCGUGCUACUGGGAAUAGCUCAUGGCCAGACUGUGGACAGAGGGAACAACCAGGCGUCACCCAUCAGGGGCUCACACGCUAGGCCCAUUAUAGCUGGCCUGGUCAAUGCCGCUUGGCCCUAGUGAACUCUACGCGCUCUCAGUUCUGACGUCUGAUGUCCACAAAGGAAGAGGCAGCUGUUCAUUCCACGAAUGGGGGCAGCACAAGACAGAAGGGACAGUUAUAAUUGUACUGACCAGAGCUCUGCUCAUUAGAGCAAAGAAUGGCACAGACCCCCCCAUUGCCCCUGCAAGAAGAUGGGUGUUGCCAGGAAAGCCCCUGCUGUGCUGGGAUCGUCCUUCCUUACCUCUCUCCAGGCGUAGUAUCUCUCUGCUUUAAUGAGCAUGCCCACGACAAGGCUAUGGUUGCUCCUGGAGGCCACAGCCAGGGCAGUCUUUCCUUGCUAAAAUUAAAAAAGAAAAAAAAUUCAGGUGAUAUGGCCUAGUGAUUAGGAGCUCUAGUUUUGGAACAAGGGGGCCUCGGUUCAAAUCUUGAUUCUACCAGCCCAUGCUGGGUAAACUUAGGCCAGUCCUUUGCUUCUUUGGGUCUUUAUAACUACCCCAUAGUGGAGUGGUCAGGGGUAAAUGUGAUAAUGCAUAUAAAGCCUUUAGAACCUGUGCCACCCUGAAUAUUUCCUAGCCUCUUUUGCAGUUAGUUAUGUGACCUAAGUUCUGGCCAAUGGUCUGUAAAUAGAAGUGGGACAUGCAACUUCUGGGAAGUAUCUUUAAACAGAAGAGAGAUGAAUGGCAUUUUCCUUCUUUUCUUCUCCCUCCUGAGUGGAAUGCUGACAUGAUGGCAGGAGCCUGAACAGCCACUUUAGACCAGGAAGUAGAAGCCAUGUUUUGAGGAGCACUGAGUAAUAAGACAGAAAAGGGCUGGAUCUUAUUAAGAAUAAUAUCAAUAAUGGCAACCCUGGUAAUUCAUAGGUCACUGGACCCCUAACUAGAAAUUUUUUCUAUUAUACCAUACUGCCUCUCACCAAGGGUGAGAGGUUUUAAUCUUAAACAAAUGGAAUGAUCAACAAGGGCUGUUCUGGACAUAAUUUUGGGAAUGAACUGCCUGGAGCCCACAUGGUAACUUAGACGAAUUACAAAAAGGUACACUUUUCUCAAGAUGGACAGAGCUCAAAGCCAGGGCAUAGAGCUUUGCAAGCAGAAUCCUCUGGAUUUCAUAGAGUGCACCACUUCAACAUCUAAAUAUUUUUCCCUGAGCAAAGGAUGGUGGUUCUCAUUUGCUUUUCAAAUGACCCAUGAAGAAUUUGCUCAGAAAACAAUUAAAAUUAAUGGUCAGAAAUGACCCAAGAAGAAGAGUUCCAAUCUUAGGAACCCUUAUGGAUCCAGAAAUAUAUCCCAAGUAUUAUCUUACAUGGUUAGAUAUUUGCAACAAGUGCGAUUCCCACCAAUAUAAAUGAUUUGGUUCUUAGUCUAGGCACUAAGACCCAGGGGAGCAGGAAAAUUAGGGCUGAAAGUAAUCAGCCUGUAAUCAAAAGAGACAGUAAUGAAAUUAGGAAGAACUGCAUUUUGCAGGCAUUUAGCAAGCCUCUAAUUGUAUGCUGUCUACAUUCUGUCUUGCAGAGCCAUUUGAAUCACUAUAAUUAGCCUGCUUUGAGAAGGCAGCAUUCUGAGAGCCAGAGUUUCCAAGUUCAAAGGAAAAUCUUCCUAAGGAAUAUAUGCUGGAGUGAAAAUCCAAACACUUCUACCCUUAGGGGUUGGGAGGUAGCGUGGAUAGAAGGUUCUCUGAGAGCUUUUUGACACCUCAGGCCAAGAGGACAAGCAGAGAACAAGCUGCUGGGAAAGUCAAAUUUAUACCAAACUUUGAUUCCUUAUUUCCUAACCAGACCCUAACAUGGUCCUAGAAACACUUUUCUUUGGCAAAAAAAAAAAAAAAAAAAAAAAAAUUGUGGGAGCCAAUAGAAAAGAUAUUUUUUAUUCAUUUAUUAACUAUGUAUUGGGUGCCAACUAUGUGCCAGACCUUGAAAAGAAAGGAGAAGAAGGGAAAUCUGGGAAAGUCAAAUCAUGAGGCCCAGUAAACUGUGAGCUCUUGUUUUGAAAACAAAGUCAAAUGGUAGCAUUGACUGUAUUUACUGGAAUAUCUAGUCCACUAAGCAGCAGGGACCCCAACAUAAAUCCCUGCCCAAUGCUAUAGAUUUCGUACCCACAGAAUGGCUUUGGGGGUAUUAAGUAUUCAUGAAAAAGUAGAAUAAAAUACAAAACAACAGCAUUAAAAAAUACUAAGGCUAAAUGUUAAACCAAAUUAACCAGGCACAACUGGUGAAAGUGGUGGAAUUCCACACAAGUGAUAACAUUCUGUGUUGUGUUUUCCUCCUUAAGCUUUUCUGUGUUCUAAAUCGUCCACAGUGGGCCUGUGUUACUUUUUUUUUUUUUUUUUUUU
Molecule: long non-coding RNA, 5723 nt
Filed under: Homo sapiens (human)
Lineage: Eukaryota; Metazoa; Chordata; Mammalia; Primates; Hominidae
Description: HSALNT0327420
Source: RNAcentral